Molecule: non-coding RNA, 535 nt
Organism: Triticum urartu
Lineage: Eukaryota; Viridiplantae; Streptophyta; Magnoliopsida; Poales; Poaceae
Source: RefSeq, a predicted model, not a curated record
CAAAUCCCGCACGCCGCACGCGGCACACCGCACGCCGAAUUCGUCGCCGGAAUCGUCGAUCCAGCAACCGAGCCCGCCGACGGCUGGAACGUAGGGAGUAGGCGAGGAGCAGGAGGGAUCGACGGAGAUGGUGAGGGCCUUCUUCUUCCUCCGCGGGUGCGUGGAGCAGGCGAACGUGGCGGCAGUGGAGAAGCGGGGCCGGUUCCUCCGCCUCGCCGAGCCGGGCAUUCACUUCUUCAACCCUGCGCCGGCGUGCUCGUCGCCGGGACCCUCUCCACCCGCGUCCAGUCGCUCGUCGUCCGCGUCGAGACCAAGACCAAGGAUAAUGUCUUUGUUCAACUGAUCUCUACAAUUCAAUACCGGGUUGUUAGGAGAAUGCAGAUGAUGCAUUCUACAAGUUGCAAAAUCCCCCAACAGCAAAUUUAGUCCUACGUCUUUGCUGUGGUCCGAGCCAUAGUUCCAAGAAUGGAGCUGGACAGUCUUUUUGAGCAGAAAAAUGCUGUUGCAAAGGCUGUACUUGAGGAUCUUGAAAAGG